AGUAAAUUAUCAGGAAAAUUUUAUUUGAAAGUGAACUAACCCUUUAAGAGUUGAGGUGCGGUCACACACCCUUGCGCGGCAAAAUUUCGCGGGCAAAAUCCAGUCACUCCAAUAGGAAUCUGCGCGUUCUAGAGUUUAGCAUGAGGAUGAAAGUUCCACACGCAGAUUUCGCUCGUUUUUACGUUCGAUUUCGCCGCGUUGGGCGACGCUGCUUGGUUUGAAAGAGAGUUCUUUGUGAGCUGUGCCUUAUCGAUUUCUAACAAUGGACCUUUUUUGCCUGCGAAAUGUCGCUAAUGCGACCGCAUUUUGAAUGUGACAUCGUAACUCCUUUAGACGCUAUUAGUAAAGUGAGCGCCAAAUGAAUGGGCCUCAGACAACAGGAAAAGGCAGCAGUAGACUGAAGAUCAGAGGUAAUGCUAUAGGAUAGAAAGCGAGACAGUGGGAGGUAAAUUAAGCCUCUAAUGAACACAUCUCACUGGCAUACAGACGUGGGAGGUGUUGCCAUGGCGACCGGGAGCUGAGUGAUGCUGAUGAGGAAACGAGAGAAGCAGAACCUGAGCAAGACCUUGAGCUGAACUGCGUCUGGUAGUUCAUGACAAACUCACAUCUGAUGCAGAAGUGACUAGAUGUCUCUGGCCACGUAUUGAAAGAAAAGUCGGACAGAUUUCCAGUAUAUGUGGAAUAGAAGACCUACAUUUGUCAAAAUGAGCAAGUUAUUUGGACCCAUUUUAGAUGGAGUUUCUGCAAACUGAACUUCAUCAAAAUCAGCCUGAAGCUCCAUGACCUAAUGUUAAAUGUUUCCACUGUCUCCAUGUCGCUCACAAACGCUGAGUCACAAGGAGCAUAUUGUGACUCCUGAGAUGACAUUUUGUCAUAUAGUGUCAAUUUGACCCAGUAAAAUCUACACUUGAUUCAGUGUCCAAAUGGAAACAUCAUGUCAGCUGCCAAGCUAAACUAAACCAGACAGAUAACUACCUGAGAAAGCCUUCUAAAUUUGGCUCUUGGUGUUUGUGGAAGGAUUUUUUAUCUUUACAGCUAUUAUUCUCGCCAUUGGUUGAGUUAUUAGUUGACUCAAGAAAACAGACUGACGACAUCUAGGCUGAACAGACUAUUGGAUAAUGUUAACCAGUAGCCGAAUAUCUUCAGGAGAGAAGUAUAUCGACCCCAUCCUGGAGACCGCCGUGGCAACGCUUCAAAUAUUCAACGCCCAUCGCCAAAUUUCCAAAUUGAAUUUGCGACAACAUUCUGACCUCAGAGGAGCUGGAAAUCACAGAGACAUCAGGAUGACUACAGAUGCACCGCAUGAACCCUGGGACAGACAGGCGUCACUAAAAACAUACGCUGCAUUGAAUGGCUGUGGUGAGGAUGAAAGGCUCUUCGUUUCGCUGUGAUGUCUUUCUCCUGCAUGAAUAAGCAUAUCCCAGCAUCUCCAGACCCCCAGGGGCCUCCCGGACACUCUCCCCUGCUCUGGGCCUCCUCUCCUGGGACGUUGUUUUCCUGCCUUUCUACUGCUUUAAAUAUUAUAGCACAUCUAGGAAGGUCAAACAAAAGACAGGGCAGCACCUUUCCUCCUCAAAAUAAAGCUUCCAAUUCGAUGUUUAUUCUCCAAAUAAGCUCUAGGAUUUACUCUUUUUCAUUUUUCGAUUAGAAGUUCAAAAUGCCUUUGCAGCGGUAUGCUGUUAGUUAACAUCACACCAUGUCACACCAUUUUUUUCAACCAUAUCAGGGGCCAGUAGCCUAUAUUCAGAGAAAAUUUGUUCUUGAAUUGUGCUUGACAGAUGAACAGAUGUCAUUAUACAUGUGAAAAAUCAGUGUGCGUGUCAGAUUGUCAUCAGUGGGCGUUCUUUGACACCGGUGCUAUGUGUGUGUGUGUGUGUGUUUGGUACUGGGAAGACGGGUUCUCAGUAAGAGAGCACAACUGCUCUGUUUAGAUAAAACCUAGACACCUGCUGUCCUGCCAGGGCAUAUCGUUUACUGUACCACGCCUGACACCAUGUUUUACCUCCUCGCUUACAUCCCAGAGUCAAAUUUUAUUGCACAGAGGUCACUCAGGAGCCUUUCAGGAGUUUUCAGAAGAAGUCGCCAUGUGCUUUCCUAUUUAAUCUCAUUGCUGUCUAGGAGUGACAUUUAAGAUCUUAAAGAGAAAUCAUUUAUGAUUUUCUUACUGCUCAUAAUCCUAAUGCUCUUUCAUAACACAAGUUUAUCAAUGAUGAAAUUAGUUCAGUUCAGCUAUAAGCAGCUCUACAGAAGACAAUAGUGUCGUUAUUCACUUUGAGUCAGUUUAAUGUUGGUUCACAGCCAUCUGACAGGAGCUAGUUAUUACAGUUAAUAAAGUUUUAAAUAUGGAUAUUUUUCUUACAAAAACCCAUCGCUCCCCUUCAGAAGGCCUUUAUUAACAUCCUGGAGCCAUAUGGAUUAUUU
Megalobrama amblycephala (Wuchang bream) is the source of this 2421-nucleotide long non-coding RNA. RefSeq lists it as uncharacterized. The transcript has 9 exons. Lineage: Eukaryota; Metazoa; Chordata; Actinopteri; Cypriniformes; Xenocyprididae. The record is from RefSeq and is a predicted model, not a curated record.